CCUACGGGAGGCAGCAGUAAGGAAUAUUGGUCAAUGGACGCAAGUCUGAACCAGCCAUGCCGCGUGAAGGAUGAAGGCCCUCUGGGUUGUAAACUUCUUUUACAGGGGACGAAAAAAGGGAAUUCUUUCUCACUUGACGGUACCCUGGGAAUAAGCACCGGCUAACUCCGUGCCAGCAGCCGCGGUAAUACGGAGGGUGCAAGCGUUAUCCGGAUUCACUGGGUUUAAAGGGUGCGUAGGUGGGCAUUUAAGUCAGUGGUGAAAUCUCCGGGCUUAACCCGGAAACUGCCAUUGAUACUAUUUGUCUUGAAUAUUGUGGAGGUAAGCGGAAUAUGUCAUGUAGCGGUGAAAUGCUUAGAUAUGACAUAGAACACCCAUUGCGAAGGCAGCUUACUACGCAAAUAUUGACACUGAGGCACGAAAGCGUGGGGAUCAAACAGGAUUAGAUACCCUGGUAGUCCACGCCCUAAACGAUGGAUACUCGACAUCAGCGAUACACAGUUGGUGUCUGAGCGAAAGCAUUAAGUAUCCCACCUGGAAGUACGACCGCAAGGUUGAAACGUCAAAGGAAUUAGACGG
RNAcentral lists this ribosomal RNA (579 nucleotides) under uncultured bacterium. RNAcentral's name for it is "bacterial SSU rRNA". It matches the Rfam family "Bacterial small subunit ribosomal RNA", at positions 338 to 917 of the family's 1533-position model. The record is from RNAcentral.